ACGAACGCUGGCGGCGUGCCUAAUACAUGCACGUAGAACGCUGAAGGAGGAGCUUGCUUCUCUGGAUGAGUUGCGAACGGGUGAGUAACGCGUAGGUAACCUGCCUGGUAGCGGGGGAUAACUAUUGGAAACGAUAGCUAAUACCGCAUAAUAGUAGAUGUUGCAUGACAUUUGCUUAAAAGGUGCAAUUGCAUCACUACCAGAUGGACCUGCGUUGUAUUAGCUAGUUGGUGGGGUAACGGCUCACCAAGGCGACGAUACAUAGCCGACCUGAGAGGGUGAUCGGCCACACUGGGACUGAGACACGGCCCAGACUCCUACGGGAGGCAGCAGUAGGGAAUCUUCGGCAAUGGACGGAAGUCUGACCGAGCAACGCCGCGUGAGUGAAGAAGGUUUUCGGAUCGUAAAGCUCUGUUGUAAGAGAAGAACGAGUGUGAGAGUGGAAAGUUCACACUGUGACGGUAUCUUACCAGAAAGGGACGGCUAACUACGUG
This 494-nucleotide ribosomal RNA is filed under the name uncultured bacterium. RNAcentral's name for it is "partial 16S ribosomal RNA". It matches the Rfam family "Bacterial small subunit ribosomal RNA", at positions 29 to 507 of the family's 1533-position model. The record is from RNAcentral.